Molecule: ribosomal RNA, 254 nt
Filed under: uncultured bacterium
Lineage: Bacteria
Description: partial 16S ribosomal RNA
Rfam family: Bacterial small subunit ribosomal RNA
Source: RNAcentral
UACGUAGGGCGCAAGCGUUAUCCGGAAUUAUUGGGCGUAAAGAGCUCGUAGGCGGUGUGUCGCGUCGGCCGUGAAAACCUGGGGCUUAACUCUGGGCGUGCGGUCGAUACGGGCAUCACUGGAGUUCGGCAGGGGAGACUGGAAUUCCUGGUGUAGCGGUGAAAUGCGCAGAUAUCAGGAGGAACACCGGUGGCGAAGGCGGGUCUCUGGGCCGAUACUGACGCUGAGACGCGAAAGCGUGGGGAGCAAACAGG